AUCGAACGCUGGCGGCAGGCCUAACACAUGCAAGUCGAGCGGAUGAAGGGAGCUUGCUCCUGGAUUCAGCGGCGGACGGGUGAGUAAUGCCUAGGAAUCUGCCUGGUAGUGGGGGAUAACGUCCGGAAACGGGCGCUAAUACCGCAUACGUCCUGAGGGAGAAAGUGGGGGAUCUUCGGACCUCACGCUAUCAGAUGAGCCUAGGUCGGAUUAGCUAGUUGGUGGGGUAAAGGCCUACCAAGGCGACGAUCCGUAACUGGUCUGAGAGGAUGAUCAGUCACACUGGAACUGAGACACGGUCCAGACUCCUACGGGAGGCAGCAGUGGGGAAUAUUGGACAAUGGGCGAAAGCCUGAUCCAGCCAUGCCGCGUGUGUGAAGAAGGUCUUCGGAUUGUAAAGCACUUUUAGUUGGGAGGAAGGGCAGUAAGUUAAUACCUUGCUGUUUUGACGUUACCAACAGAAUAAGCACCGGCUAACUUCGUG
This 484-nucleotide ribosomal RNA is filed under the name uncultured bacterium. Its description in RNAcentral is "partial 16S ribosomal RNA". It matches the Rfam family "Bacterial small subunit ribosomal RNA", at positions 30 to 507 of the family's 1533-position model. The record is from RNAcentral.